UGGGAGCAAAGCUUGCUCGCGAUGGCGGCGGACCAGUCAAUGACGUUGUCGACUGGCACACCCCAAUCGCGAGCAAGCUUUGCUCCCA
RNAcentral lists this unclassified non-coding RNA (88 nucleotides) under Pseudomonas sp. NFACC15-1. The record is from RNAcentral. RNAcentral also lists the same sequence under 1 other name. Lineage: Bacteria; Pseudomonadati; Pseudomonadota; Gammaproteobacteria; Pseudomonadales; Pseudomonadaceae.